This 358-nucleotide ribosomal RNA is filed under the name Septoria krystynae. RNAcentral's name for it is "SSU rRNA". It matches the Rfam family "Eukaryotic small subunit ribosomal RNA", at positions 830 to 1186 of the family's 1831-position model. The record is from RNAcentral. Lineage: Eukaryota; Fungi; Ascomycota; Dothideomycetes; Mycosphaerellales; Mycosphaerellaceae.
GUGGUUCUAUUUUGUUGGUUUCUAGGACCGCCGUAAUGAUUAAUAGGGAUAGUCGGGGGCAUCCGUAUUCAAUUGUCAAAGGUGAAAUUCUUGGAUUUAUUGAAAACAAACUACUGCGAAAGCAUUUGCCAAGGAUGUUUUCAUUAAUCAGUGAACGAAAGUUAGGGGAUCGAAAACGAUCAAAUACCGUCGUAGUCUUAACCAUAAACUAUGCCGACUAGGGAUCGGUGGAUGUUAUCUUUUUGACUCCCUCGGCACCUUACGAAAAAUCAAAGUUUUUGGGUUCUGGGGGGAGUAUGGUCGCAAGGCUGAAACUUAAAGAAAUUGACGGAAGGGCACCACCAGGCGUGGAGCCUGC